This 437-nucleotide ribosomal RNA is filed under the name uncultured bacterium. RNAcentral's name for it is "bacterial SSU rRNA". It matches the Rfam family "Bacterial small subunit ribosomal RNA", at positions 1000 to 1434 of the family's 1533-position model. The record is from RNAcentral.
UUCGAAAGCAGGGGGUGCCCGCAAGGGAGCGCGGAGACAGGUGGUGCAUGGCUGUCGUCAGCUCGUGUCGUGAGAUGUUGGGUUAAGUCCCGCAACGAGCGCAACCCUCACCUCUUGUUGCCAUCAGGUCAUGCUGGGCACUCUAGAGGAACUGCCCCGGUCAACGGGGAGGAAGGCGGGGAUGACGUCAAGUCAUCAUGCCCCUUACGUCCUGGGCUACACACGUGCUACAAUGGCCGGUACAAAGGGAUGCCACACCGCGAGGUAGAGCUAAACCCAAAAAGCCGGUCUAAGUUCAGAUUGGAGUCUGCAACUCGACUCCAUGAAGGAGGAAUCGCUAGUAAUCGCGUAUCAGCACGACGCGGUGAAUACGUUCCCGGGCCUUGUACACACCGCCCGUCACACCACGAAAGCCAGUUGUACUCGAAGUCGCUGAG